UGAACAAUCACUGUUGAAACAUAAAUGCAAAGAAUACACCGUUUUAUUGGGUUAUUGUACCUAUUAUAUAACAAGUUACCAUAGAUGCUUUUCAUAGAUGAUUUAAUGUUAAAUCAUUAAAAAUAAUCAUAAUUUUAUGAUGGUUAAAUAAAUUCUCAUUUGCACUUAUUUGAUGUAAAAUACAAUAUAAAAACAACAAAAUGACCUGGUCAUAUUUCCAACAAUUAUUUCAGCUUUAUCUGUCCUGGUGAUUAUAAAGGAAAAACAAGUAUUUAUGACAUACAUUGCUUCUGAGGGUGCUUUACUUUAAAAGGUCUUGGAAAUCUAGUUUAUAAUUAAGCAAAAACUACAAAAUAAACAGGAAUAACAAUUUACUAAUUUUCCCCCAUUUUCUCACUCCUUUCUGAAAAGGUGACUCUUAAGAAGAACAGGGGG
RNAcentral lists this long non-coding RNA (435 nucleotides) under Bos taurus (domestic cattle). RNAcentral's name for it is "long non-coding RNA NONBTAT018527". Lineage: Eukaryota; Metazoa; Chordata; Mammalia; Artiodactyla; Bovidae. The record is from RNAcentral.